GACGAACGCUGGCGGCAUGCCUAAUACAUGCAAGUCGAGCGAACAGAUGAAGUGCUUGCACUUCUGACGUUAGCGGCGAACGGGUGAGUAACACGUAAGGAAUCUACCUAUAAGCGGGGGAUAACAUUCGGAAACGGGUGCUAAUACCGCAUAAUAUCUUCUUCCGCAUGGAAGAAGAUUGAAAGACGGCUCUGCUGUCACUUAUAGAUGACCUUGCGGUGCAUUAGUUAGUUGGUGGGGUAACGGCCUACCAAGACGAUGAUGCAUAGCCGACCGGAGAGGGUGAUCGGCCACAUUGGGACUGAGACACGGCCCAAACUCCUACGGGAGGCAGCAGCAGGGAAUCUUCCGCAAUGGGCGAAAGCCUGACGGAGCAAUGCCGCGUGAGUGAAGAAGGCCUUCGGGUCGUAAAACUCUGUUAUAAGAGAAGAACAAAUUGUAGAGUAACUGCUACAGUCUUGACGGUAUCUUAUCAGAAAGCCACGGCUAACUACGUGCCAGCAGCCGCAGUAA
This 513-nucleotide ribosomal RNA is filed under the name uncultured bacterium. RNAcentral's name for it is "partial 16S ribosomal RNA". It matches the Rfam family "Bacterial small subunit ribosomal RNA", at positions 28 to 523 of the family's 1533-position model. The record is from RNAcentral.